RNAcentral lists this ribosomal RNA (251 nucleotides) under uncultured bacterium. RNAcentral's name for it is "partial 16S ribosomal RNA". It matches the Rfam family "Bacterial small subunit ribosomal RNA", at positions 526 to 779 of the family's 1533-position model. The record is from RNAcentral.
CGUAGGUGCAAGCGUUAAUCGGAAUUACUGGGCGUAAAGCGUGCGCAGGCGGUUGUGUAAGUCAGAUGUGAAAUCCCCGGGCUCAACCUGGGAAUUGCAUUUGAGACUGCACGGCUAGAGUGUGUCAGAGGGGGUAGAAUUCCACGUGUAGCAGUGAAAUGCGUAGAUAUGUGGAGGAAUACCGAUGGCGAAGGCAGCCCCCUGGGAUAACACUGACGCUCAUGCACGAAAGCGUGGGAGCAAACAGGAUU